This 312-nucleotide ribosomal RNA is filed under the name uncultured eukaryote. RNAcentral's name for it is "partial large subunit ribosomal RNA". It matches the Rfam family "Eukaryotic large subunit ribosomal RNA", at positions 40 to 350 of the family's 3401-position model. The record is from RNAcentral.
AUAUAAUUAAGCGGAGGAAAAGAAACUAACUAGGAUUCCCUCAGUAACGGCGAGUGAAGCGGGAAGAGCUCAAACCGAAAAUCACUGUCUCGGCAGCGAAUUGUGGUCUAUUGAAGCGUGUCUCAGUGUGCGACCCCGGCCCAAGUCAAUUGGAACAUUGUGUCAGAGAGGGUGAGAACCCCGUCCCUGGCUGGGUGAUCGUCACGUUCGAGCCGCUCUCAAAGAGUCGGGUUGCUUGGGAGUGCAGCCCUAAGUGGGUGGUAAAUUUCAUCUAAAGCUAAAUACAUGUGGGAGACCGAUAGCGCACAAGUA